ACCCCAAGACCAUAAAUGAACAUGGCAGGACUAGGUUAUCGGGUGUGAGCCUGAUAAACAAGAAUAUGCUUUAAUCAACUUUUCAAAACAUGUUAUCCCCAAAAUAAAAACACAAAACUCUCAUACAGAACUCCAGAUCCGGGGGAUUACAUCCGAAGACCCCUUGGACCUGGUGUAAGAGACCUGUGCUAGAAGGAACCUUGGACAGAGCAGAGGGAAGAGAGGGAUUCUCCACCACCACACCAAGAUGGUGCCGCAGAGAUUUCUGAGGGCAGCCCAGAAACCUCCAGGGAGUCUUACGUCUAUUCGGAGAUCUUUCACCUGUGGAAUUUUGACAAGCAGGAUCCCAGAUCCAGUAACAAGAAGAAAUCAAAGCCUGGCCUUAUGCCCUCGACACCUCCACAACUUUGCCAACCUUUCCUACUACAUCUUCUAGUCAAAGACCCUGACGGCAGCAUAAUAUUGUGGAAAAGGAACACACUCUGGG
This 487-nucleotide long non-coding RNA is filed under the name Dasypus novemcinctus (nine-banded armadillo). RNAcentral's name for it is "lncRNA (ENSDNOG00000052541.1)". The record is from RNAcentral. Lineage: Eukaryota; Metazoa; Chordata; Mammalia; Cingulata; Dasypodidae.